This 372-nucleotide ribosomal RNA is filed under the name Foraminifera environmental sample. RNAcentral's name for it is "partial small subunit ribosomal RNA". It matches the Rfam family "Eukaryotic small subunit ribosomal RNA", at positions 1129 to 1422 of the family's 1831-position model. The record is from RNAcentral. Lineage: Eukaryota; Foraminifera.
ACGCACGUGUGAAACUUGAAGGAAUUGACGGAAGGCACCACAGGAACGCGUGGAGCAUGUGGCUUAAUUUGACCCAACGCGGGAAAUCUUACCGGGUCCGGACACACUGAGGUUGACAGGCAAAAGAUACAAAGUAGUUUCUUUUUUCGGAAAGGGGUUCUUUGCAUUGUAAAAUAUGCGAGUCCUUUCAUGAUUAUGUGAUAGGUGGUGCAUGGCCGUUCUUAGUUCGGGGGGUGAUCUGUCUGCUUAAUUGCCUUUCACAACGAUUUAAAACACUAUGUUUUGCGUUUGCUGUUCGGUUGUUUCUUGUAAAUGACUUUGAACGCACGCAGCGUAGUUGAAAAAACAAUCGGAAAGCAACGAACGUGACCG